Molecule: long non-coding RNA, 2794 nt
Organism: Ictalurus punctatus (channel catfish)
Lineage: Eukaryota; Metazoa; Chordata; Actinopteri; Siluriformes; Ictaluridae
Exons: 5
Source: RefSeq, a predicted model, not a curated record
AGUUUGGUCAUGGAUUCAACCAUGAUGUAUUUCUUCCCUAAGUGAUCAUCCAGUGUGAUGUUUGUUUGUGUAUCAUAUUAUAUUAUGAAAUAUUCAUCUUCUGUGGAAAGGUUAUUGCAGUGCUUGGUUUUUAUUAUAUUGUUAAUAUCUGGGAAUAAUUAUUUUCUUUGACCUGGUAAACAGGUAAUAAACACUCUUAGUUUUGGAUACUAGUAAUUUAAUUUGGUUUAUACAUUUAAAAUGUUACAUAUUUAAAUGCAUAGAUCAACCUCAGUGUUAAAAAGGUUCCAAAUUUUGAAUGAUCAAUAUGAUGGACAUUUAUGGGUCUCUUGCCUGUCCAAUUAAAAUCUUCAGACAGUUAUUUUUAACUUUGAAUGCUAUGCUAUGUUAAAACGAUUCAAAGGUCACAAGAAUUUUUAAUGAGUUUGGCAUUGAAGAACACCAAGAUCAGGUUUAUCACCGGUGUUCUGUUACAAAGACACAGCAAUCUUUUCAUGUUAUAAAUAUAUUUACAAGGCACAAACAUCAGUCUUCUAAGGAAAUUGGUAAUAUCAUGUGUCCUUUAUAAACUGCCAAAAAGAUUCAAUUCCAAGUUCCAGGUCUAAAAACAGAAGCAAAAUGAAUAAUACUUUACAAGACGUUCUCCCGACCUAUUCUAAGCUGCCCACAGAUGCAGAAAUUUAGCGGUACAUGUACAGAUUUUCCAACCAAGUGCAAGAAAAAACCCCAAUAUGAAAUAUUAAUUCAUUUAUUAUCAGUAAGUGCUUUAUCCUUAUCUGUCCCAGAAUUAGCAUUAGGGAUGAGGCUGUAAGCAACCAAGUAUGUGACUUAAAUUCACAAACUACAUUUACUACUAGGAGCCAGUUUCCAGUUCACCUCACUAUUUUUGAGUGUAGAAUAUCAGAUGAACAAAAAUCCAAAUAUCUGUUUCCAAUAGCAUUUCAUAAAAUGUAGUAUUAAAUUGGCAGAUAAUUACUUGGCCGUAAAAGUCCAGAGGUUAUUGACUGCGAUGAACUGGAUUCAUACAUUUAUUUUUCAAAACCCAAUCUUAGCUUAACAUGCUUAUUCAGAUCUAAUGAGGAUAUAUACACCUGGUCUCAGAACUAAUGAAUUUAAUGUGUAUCGAGUAAGCAUUUAGCCAGACUCCCUACGACUUUCCCAGAUAAGAUAAGCGAUAAGAUAAUACUUUAUUAAUCCCCAGACGGAGAAAUUUGCAUGCCAUGCUCUCUGGCAGUCUUUGAGUAAGUAGUGAUUGAGUUCAAAUAUACUUUUUGGUGGAUUUAGUGUAAUAUGGGGAUUUUAAGUAAAGGCUUAUGGUUAUACCAGUAUAGUGAGUUAUAUUAUUUCUCUAUAAAUUAUUGUGCAUGGUUUAUACCUCUUUUAUAGCACAUUAGCUAAUCUUGUUGUUGUCUUUGUUACCAUUGCAAUUGGAUAGAUGUCCCUUUGUAGUUUUAAUCUGAUUAACAUAAUAUUUAUUUUGGUAAAAUCAGAUUUAAAAAAUUAUAAACAUUUAAAUAUUUAAAAUAUAUAAUCUUCAUACAUUUAUAAUAUAAAACUCAGAAAGUUUUCUGAAAAUGGAGCAGCUAGUUUACAAGAUCUUGAUAAUUAGUAUUGAAAUAUUAGUGUAGAGAUCAUUGGGCAGUAGUUUUAGAACUGAAAUGUCUCCAAGAUGACUCACUGGGUUACUAAUGACCAUCCUAAAUGCCUGUCUUAAUAUUCACUUGGAUGAAAGUCCUCUGUUACACACUGCAGCUGUGGCAUCACACAGCAUUCGCCUUGUUUAUUUUUAGAGCCAUGCAGCUUCUUCUUUUUUUAUUUUUUUUGGAUGAAGGUGGGCUAUAGCACUGUGAAUGCAAGUCCUAUCUGAAAGACAUCUUCUGUUCUUGUCGAGCAUCAUUACCUCAGUUUAACAGAUGUAGUUGAAAUUGCAUGCUUUAGUGGAGACUCGUAUCAUCAGCAGGAAGCUACCGUAAUUCAUAUUGCAUUUAUAUUUUGCUUCAUCUUUUCAUCUUUCUAGCUCUUGAUUCUGAACAGUGAUGUGUUACUCUGCAGUGUCUGUUGAACUGGUACCCAAGAAAACCUUUUCUGCACUUCAACAGCUCUUGAUUCUGAACAGUGAUGUGUUACUCUGCAGUGUCUGUUGAACUGGUACCCAAGAAAACCUUUUCUGCACUUCAACAGCUCUUGAUUCUGAACAGUGAUGUGUUACUCUGCAGUGUCUGUUGAACUGGUACCCAAGAAAACCUUUUCUGCACUUCAACAGCUCUUGAUUCUGAACAGUGAUGUGUUACUCUGCAGUGUCUGUUGAACUGGUACCCAAGAAAACCUUUUCUGCACUUCAACAGAAGACUCUGCCGAUAAGGAAGACAACGCUCCCCGGCUGCCCAACAUCACUGCCCCUCUGUGGAUGUUUUCCCCUACUUGUUUUCUCCCUCUAUUGACAAUCUCAGCUGGGAAGAGGGAUCACCAGACCGCCACCGACACAUCCCUCACUCCCUUCACCCCUUCCCUUCACACUGCUGUUUUUUUUCCUGUUUUGUAAAUACACGUGCGCUAAUUCCCCACCAAUCGCCUCUCUGUGUCCGUGCUCUGCCUGCCACGGCUGUGAGUUUCGCUACAAUGCUUCUUUAUUAAACUUUAUUUUUGUUUUUGUUGGACAUUUUUAAGUUGUUGAGCUCAGAGUAACAGGUUUUUACUUUACUCCAGCUGGGUCUAUACCUGAGAUUAUGUAAUAAAUGUUCUACUCCUACUCUAUAUGUUCAAUAUAUUUUUGAGUUCCCUCUAGAACAGUACU